Molecule: ribosomal RNA, 344 nt
Filed under: uncultured Leptolinea sp.
Lineage: Bacteria; Bacillati; Chloroflexota; Anaerolineae; Anaerolineales; Anaerolineaceae
Description: bacterial SSU rRNA
Rfam family: Bacterial small subunit ribosomal RNA
Source: RNAcentral
GGGGAGCUUGCACAGGUGCUGCAUGGCUGUCGUCAGCUCGUGUCGUGAGAUGUCGGUUAAGUCCGCUAACGAGCGCAACCCUCGCUGUGUGUUAUAUGUGUCACACGGGACUGCCGGUCUUAAGCCGGAGGAAGGUGGGGAUGAUGUCAAGUCAGCAUGGCCUUUAUAUCCUGGGCUACACACACGCUACAAUGGCCAACACAAUAGGUUGCCAAGCCGCGAGGUGGCGCCAAUCCAUAAAGUUGGUCUCAGUUCAGAUUGUAGGCUGCAACCCGCCUGCAUGAAGAUGGAGUUGCUAGUAACCGCAGGUCAGCUAUACUGCGGUGAAUACGUUCCCGGGGCUU